GCCCUGUUUUGUUUUCUUUUCUUUUGUUGCAUCUGGCCAUCUUAGUGCAGCCAAUCAAGAAAGCAGGAUUGUUUUAAUUAGAGAGGCUCAAAUGAAUUGUUGUUACGGAUUUAUACAAAAGUUUAAAGAGAUUUACUUUGGCUGAGUUUGAGCACCCUUAAUACAGAAUCAGAAUGGUUUGCUUUUUUAACAUUAUUAAAUAUCAACCUGAAAUCAAAGCCCACAGGUUUUGAUGAAAAACUGCAGCUGACAAGGAGAAUUAGGUACCAAAAUUCUAUUGGCUUUGUUUGAGAGAACAGUUGCAAGUUUGUUUUGCAGGCUGCACCGCACCCAGUCUGCCUCUUAGCUUUUGUGUAACUUUUGCCAUUUGAUUCUACACUUCAAGACAUGAGUGUUGCUUCUCUGUGGUGUCCUGCCCAGCAACCUGGAGUAGACACUGGGACCUGGAGAAUGAGAGGAAGACCCUGAGGAGAACGAGCCUCCUGACAAGAUGGUAUCUGCAGGAGGCCCUCACCUGCAGAGCGCAGUGAUCGACUGGGCAUAUAAUAGGCAAGUAUCGGAGGUCAAGGACGCGUUCCAGCCAGGCAAAAUCUCUCAACAAGGGUGCAAAGCGGUGAUGGUGAGGAAUGUGCCCUGAGGAGAGGGGGGUAGCCUGGGGAGAGCCCAAUGGCCAGAUGGCAAGGCUUGGAGGGCCAACAUUUGGCCUCCGGGCCCGAGGUUCCCCAUCCUUGAUAUAAAGGGUAUCUGGCAGUGCACAAUAGAAAUGAGGUACAGAUGUCUUCCUUCCAGAACACAACUUCUCCAGAGAAUGCUGUAGUGAAACUGCCAAUGGACGGUUGUUGUCAAAUGUUGUCCUUCUGGAUCCUAUCCUUAUUAAAAUGGUUUGUGUA
Rhineura floridana is the source of this 890-nucleotide long non-coding RNA. RefSeq lists it as uncharacterized. The transcript has 4 exons. Lineage: Eukaryota; Metazoa; Chordata; Lepidosauria; Squamata; Rhineuridae. The record is from RefSeq and is a predicted model, not a curated record.